UUGUUUCCAUUGGUUUGAAGGCCGUUAAAUCUGAGGGUUGUCUGAGGUUAUUGUACCUUUUGCAUUAUGAUUCACUGAUGUUUUUUCUUUAUUCAGGGAUUUCUCGAAGGGUGGCGAUUUCCCCUUUGCCUGCUUAGAUCUGAGUGUUGUACAGGUCGUAUAAUUAUCAGAGCUGAGGGGUGUAGUGACAAAUAGCUCGUGCCGUCCUAUAGCUAGUUGGUUGAUUUCUUUUCCGUCUGUAUCUACCCUGUUAUGAUAUGGGGUAGAGGGCAAGAGGCGGUUUGAUGAUGGCUUGAGUGGGUUAUAGGUUGAGGGUACCCUAAUUUUCUUGGUGUGUUAUAACUAGUUUUUGGUUGUGGAUCGCCUUUGGUUUAGUUUUCGACUGUUUAGCGUUUUUAGUAAUUAUGGUGGAAUGAGUAGUUUUAUUAAUUCUCUUUUUUCUCGGACUCUCCCGAACUGUUUAUUAAAAACAUUUCCAUUAUUAAGGUUUAAUGGUAUUGCCUGCCCGAUGCCUAGUGGUGAAUGGCCGCAGUAUAUUGACUGUGCUAAGGUAGCAUAAUUAAUUGCCCUGUAAUUUAGGGAUUGUUUGAAGGGUUUGAUUAGGGGGUUGAAUUCAUAGAUGAGAGUUUUUUUCGAAAUUGGUUUCUUGGUGCAGAAUCCAAGGUUGGUGAGUAAGACGGAAAGACCCCGAGAGCUUGGAUUGAUUUUUUACCUGGGGAGGGGGUAUAUAGUUCAUGUAUUUUAGGAUCCUGGGAGGAUCAUAGGUGUAAGUUACCUCGGGGAUAACUAGGUAAUAGGCAAGGAGAGGUCCUAUCGAUUUGUUUGUUUGCUAUCUCGAUGUUGGUUUGGGGUAACAAGAAGGCGCAGCAGCCUUCUUGCGGGGUCUGUUCGACCAUAGUUCCCCAUGAGCUGAGUUAAGACCGGCGUAAGCCAGGUCGGUUCUUAUCUGCUAGGGCUGUGAUUUAGUACGAAAGGAUUGGUUGCGGUUUAGGUU
Molecule: ribosomal RNA, 994 nt
Filed under: Opisthorchis viverrini
Lineage: Eukaryota; Metazoa; Platyhelminthes; Trematoda; Opisthorchiida; Opisthorchiidae
Description: 16S ribosomal RNA
Rfam family: Bacterial large subunit ribosomal RNA (bases 645-994)
Source: RNAcentral